GCCGAAGUGUUGAAAUUGGCAGACAAGCAGGUUUUAGGAACCUGUGCGAGCAAUCGCGUGUGGGUUCAAGUCCCACCUUCGGCA
Molecule: transfer RNA, 84 nt
Filed under: Candidatus Woesebacteria bacterium
Lineage: Bacteria; Candidatus Woeseibacteriota
Description: tRNA-Leu
Rfam family: tRNA
About the family: Transfer RNA (tRNA) molecules are approximately 80 nucleotides in length.
Source: RNAcentral